This 327-nucleotide ribosomal RNA is filed under the name uncultured eukaryote. RNAcentral describes it as "partial 18S ribosomal RNA". It matches the Rfam family "Eukaryotic small subunit ribosomal RNA", at positions 1470 to 1796 of the family's 1831-position model. The record is from RNAcentral.
CCCUUAGAUGUUCUGGGCCGCACACGCGCUACACUGAAGGAGGCAGCGUGUACUCCUGGAUCGAAAGAUUUGGGUAACCCGCGAAUCUCCUUCGUGCUAGGGAUUGAGGUUUGCAAUUAUCCUUCAUGAACGAGGAAUUACCAGUAAGUGCAAGUCAUAAGCUUGCGCUGACUACGUCCCUGCCCUUUGUACACACCGCCCGUCGCUACUACCGAUUGAAUGAUUUAGUGAGGACUUCGGACUGGGACCGAUGCGGCUUUCGGGCUGCGUCGGUAUUCUGGAAAGAUGUCCAAACUGUAUCAUUUAGAGGAAGUAAAAGUCGUAACA